CGGAUCCACUCCUCUCCCACACUCCCUCACCUCCCCCCUCCCUCCCCCUGCCCACGCCCCACAUACCUGGGCUCCUGCCCCUUCCACCCCUCUCUGCUCCCUCCCUGCCCCCUUCCCUUCCUCCCCUCCCCUUUAUCUCACCUUCACCCCCUUUCCUCCUACACCCCUUCCGUGUCCCCACCCCCUGCCCUCAGUCCUCCUUCCUCCUCUUCCCCACAUCCCACCUCUCCUUUCCCCCUCCUUGUAGGCCCUCUUUCUCCUCAGCCCCCCUCCCCCCGCCUUUAGUCUCCUACCUCCCCUACAGCCUCCUGCCCCCGCCUCCUCACAGCCCCCUACUUACCCUACUGCCUCCCUCCUGGGGCCCUUUCCUCCCCAAGGGCCCCUCUGUUUUCUCCCAUUCCAGCCCCUGACCAGGCCCUGCUCCUCUGCUGGGGUCGGCCCCGCACAGUAAGCUGCCUGGGAGCCCUCAUUGCCUUCCUGGGCAACCCGGCCAAAGGCCCCCCGAGCAGCUGCAGCCCUGGAGGUCAGCCUCACCCUGGCAGACCGCAGGGGCCCCUCCUCACCGCCGACCUCUGCACCUUCACCCGUUUGCCUGGUGUCUGAGGAAGGGCCCGCAGGAAGAGCAUUCCUUUCCCAGGGUCUUCCUCAGGAGGGAUGAGAGGAAGCAAAAGCUUGGUCUGCAAACGGGCUGGUCCUCCCGACGGCCACAUCCGCAGGAAUGACCCUCAGAGGGGCUCCCCAACUGGCUGGGAGAUUCGUCCAGCUGGGCGCUCUGCUACACAGCCCCGUCAAGGGCAAACAGAUGACAAAACUGAGACACAAAAGAUGAAUCAGCUUGGCAGUGUUCACAGAGCCAGCGUGUGGAAAAGCCAGAAUCCAGACCCAGACCCGAACUGCAGCGUCCCGGCUCUUACCCCUAACCAGCCAGUGCCUCUCAGCUUAGUGCUCUUCCACCCGGCUUUUCUUUCUAAAAAGGCAACGUGGAGAGGGAUGAAAAGCCUAGACCCCUUAGCACGGUCACCUGAACACAAGCUGAGUGUGGCGUAUCAAGUGGAAGCCCAGGAGGGAAGAGCCAGUGGCACAGUUAUCUCCCACCACCCGACAUGCUCCGGCCGCCAGCUCUGGUCUGACCGACGCUUCGGAUGAAGAACUCCAAGCAGCCCCCUAUUCGUACUGUUUUCCUCAGUGAACUCCCAGGGAUCACCUGCUUUUUAUGUGUGACGAAUGUGGUCAGUUUUGUUUGCUUUUGACAGCUCAUUAUGGGUCCAUGAGGUCAGAGUCCUGGCUGAAAGGCCAGAAGUUUAGGGAGCCUAUCUCCAGCUGAUACUCGCUUGCUUCUUGACCAUCUUUGGGCUUCUGUUCUUUCCCAGUAGCAUAAAGCUUGUAUGAUUCUGACCUCUGGCACCUAUGCAUUAUUUAAUCAACAUUUAUUGGGGCUGUCUCCAUGCCAGGCAUGUGGUAGGCCCUAGUGGGGCAGGGGUAAAAAACCGCUGCAAUCCUGGCCUUUCAGGAACUCAGUCUAGAGGGAGAAAGAAAACACCUGAGGCCAGAGGGCUCUCUCUGAUCUGCUUCUUCUAUUUCAAGUCUGUGCUUUUAACUAUAUUGAAUUUCCCAGUUAUUAUAUCUUCUUAAUGAAUUGUUGAUUUUAUCAGUAUGGAAUGUCCAUCCCACUUUGACCCUUGUAAUGCCUUUUACCUUAAAUUCUAUUUUAUUCUGCCCAUCACUAGGGGACUAGUUGAAUCAGUUAUGGUAUAUCCUCACAAUGGAGUACUAUGCAGUUGUGAAAAAUAAUGAGGGCCAUCUUUACGUGCUGUUAUGGAGUGAUUUCCAGGAUAUAUAGUUAAGAUGGAAAAGUAGGAAGG
Molecule: long non-coding RNA, 1862 nt
Filed under: Homo sapiens (human)
Lineage: Eukaryota; Metazoa; Chordata; Mammalia; Primates; Hominidae
Description: non-protein coding lnc-MRPL33-1:8
Source: RNAcentral